This 1477-nucleotide long non-coding RNA is filed under the name Fukomys damarensis (Damara mole-rat). RNAcentral's name for it is "lncRNA (ENSFDAG00000027321.1)". The record is from RNAcentral. Lineage: Eukaryota; Metazoa; Chordata; Mammalia; Rodentia; Bathyergidae.
UUGGCCUGGAAUCAGUGAAUAUCAUUUCUAUGGGACACUGUCCUGAAAGAGAUAGGAAAACAUUUGCAAAAAUACUGUGAAAAAGGCCAUCAGCAGUAAUUGUCUAACUAAAGUUAAAUAUUCCAGUAUUCUAUCUGUCUGAAUUACAUUAUUGGAUUACUGAUUCAACUGUCUCUCUCCACCUGGAAAGCGGGCCCACAUUCAAACUUUCUUUUUUUUUUUUUUUUUUUUUUUUUUUGUUUUUUUUUUGGCAGUGCUUGUUCAGCCCUGCACGUAAGAAGUAGCAGGAACACAUCAGAUGCCUUCUGAUUGAGUCUUGUCACCCUAAAGGGGGCCUCUCUUCUAAAGCAGCAGUUGAUUCCUGGAUAAGACCCCAGAACAUGGUCCGUGGGAAGCUCGACUUCCAUCCCUCCAUGCUUCUGCCUGCAUAAGCAAGAACUCUCUUUCCACCGUGUUUUAUAUAACAUCAUGGGAAACAACAGAGGCAUUUUUAUGGCACUGGAGAAAAUAUAAAUGCCACUUCAUUUAGCAGAGAGAAAUAAAUAUGCUUAGUUCCCCCCACCCCCGCUGGACUAUUUCCUUGAUCUUUCUGACUGCAGAACAUGGAACAUUGUUGAGGAAUUAUAAGCAGUGUGUGAAUCUGUCUGUGGAAAUGCCUUCUUACCCAGGCCCUGAGCCCUGGUAGUGAUUUAAUACCUGAACAUGCCCCAUGCACCUGCCUUGGUGAACAUCGGUGGUCCCCAGUUGAGUGCCCACAGAGCCGCUAAAUGGCCAAGCCAGACCCAGACUCAGCCCCCCAACCCCUGUGCCCACGCCCAGAGAUUGACAAGAUACCCGAGAGUUUGUCAACUGAGCUCGAGGACAAAUAUUUUCAGUGGCUGUUUACAGCAUAACUGCUUUGGACGGACUGGGAGACUGAGUAAUGUUCCUCCGAAGAUCUUUAUGUUCUGAUGCCCGGAGCAUGUGCCUCGGCUACCUUUCAAGAUGUGAUGGAAACAUAAGGUGAAUAUUGAAAUUAAAAAAAAAAAACUUAUGACACUUAAAAGAGACAUUGCCAUUAUUCCCCCUCAAAAUCUCCUCCUUUUCUUCAGACACACUUAUCCCGUGACUGUUGCCACUUUCCGAAGCAGCUCUGGAGGUCCUCUUUCAGGGAAGUCUUCAGCUGUACCGUCUUGGCUGCCUGGACCACUGAAUCGACUCAGAACGUUCAUCUUUCAUAGACUUCUUGACUUUGUGGACGAUCCAGAGGUCUCACAGUGCCAGAUCCAAUAAAGAAAGUGAAUGAGGACACACUGUUGUGUUUUUACAAACCUGCCUUUCUGUUGGAAGGCACUCAGCAACAGUAUUCACCAUAUACAUAUAUAUAUAUAUAGUCACCAAAUACACUUAGUUAGACAGUCAUUAAAGAGGGCUCCCAGAACUGUGUCAAAAUGUGACAAGAAUGACAGAGUUUGUUCAAAGCAAAGGGGAGUAUUUU